This 473-nucleotide ribosomal RNA is filed under the name Staphylococcus aureus. RNAcentral describes it as "partial 23S ribosomal RNA". It matches the Rfam family "Bacterial large subunit ribosomal RNA", at positions 2302 to 2774 of the family's 2925-position model. Lineage: Bacteria; Bacillati; Bacillota; Bacilli; Caryophanales; Staphylococcaceae. The record is from RNAcentral.
GGAGGCGCUCAAAGGUUCCCUCAGAAUGGUUGGAAAUCAUUCAUAGAGUGUAAAGGCAUAAGGGAGCUUGACUGCGAGACCUACAAGUCGAGCAGGGUCGAAAGACGGACUUAGUGAUCCGGUGGUUCCGCAUGGAAGGGCCAUCGCUCAACGGAUAAAAGCUACCCCGGGGAUAACAGGCUUAUCUCCCCCAAGAGUUCACAUCGACGGGGAGGUUUGGCACCUCGAUGUCGGCUCAUCGCAUCCUGGGGCUGUAGUCGGUCCCAAGGGUUGGGCUGUUCGCCCAUUAAAGCGGUACGCGAGCUGGGUUCAGAACGUCGUGAGACAGUUCGGUCCCUAUCCGUCGUGGGCGUAGGAAAUUUGAGAGGAGCUGUCCUUAGUACGAGAGGACCGGGAUGGACAUACCUCUGGUGUACCAGUUGUCGUGCCAACGGCAUAGCUGGGUAGCUAUGUGUGGACGGGAUAAGUGCUGA